This 298-nucleotide unclassified non-coding RNA is filed under the name Hevea brasiliensis (rubber tree). Lineage: Eukaryota; Viridiplantae; Streptophyta; Magnoliopsida; Malpighiales; Euphorbiaceae. The record is from RNAcentral.
GAACAAACAAGAACAAAGAACAAACAAGGACUAAUCCUUGGGAAAGAGAACUAAUUCUUAUAUUUUAUUGAUCUCAUAAAAUUGUUUUAGCAAAUCUAAUUUAAUAACAAUAGAAACCCUAGGUCAUAGCAAAUUCCAAUCACGUUAAAAUUUUAGAACUCUAAUUACGUCCUAAUUAACAAUACUAAACUAAACCAAAAUAAACCUAGGAAAUAAUAAUAAACCUAUUAAUAAAAUUCUAAACUUGAUAAAACUCUGAAAUUUCCUAAUUUUGCAAUGAAAAUAAUUCCUAAAUUGU